CCCUUAGAUGUUCUGGGCCGCACGCGCGCUACACUGAUGCAUUCAACGAGCCUAUCCUUGACCGACAGGUCCGGGUAAUCUUUGAAUCUGCAUCGUGACGGGGAUAGAUUAUUGCAAUUAUUAAUCUUCAACGAGGAAUGCCUAGUAGGCGCAAGUCAUCAGCUUGCGUCGAUUACGUCCCUGCCCUUUGUACACACCGCCCGUCGCUCCUAUCGAUUGAGCGGUUCAGUGAGGGCCUCGGAUUGGUCUCGGUCUGGCGUGCAAGCGCCGGCACCGUUGGCCGAGAAGACGCUCGAACUCGAUCGCUUGGAGAAAGUAAAAGUCGUAACA
RNAcentral lists this ribosomal RNA (330 nucleotides) under uncultured eukaryote. Its description in RNAcentral is "partial 18S ribosomal RNA". It matches the Rfam family "Eukaryotic small subunit ribosomal RNA", at positions 1470 to 1796 of the family's 1831-position model. The record is from RNAcentral.